CAGUCUGUCUGUCUGUCUGUUAGCCUGCCUGCCUGCCUGUCUGCCAGCCUGUCGUUUGUUUGUUUGUUUGUCUGUCUGCGUGUCUGCCUUUGUCUGUUUGCCUGUCUGCAUUCACUUUUGCGUCUGUCUGUCUGGGUCUGUCUGUCUGUCAUGGUAGUAAUUCAAACAUGAUUACUAUUACAGACUAGAUAAAGUAGCUAAUAGCAAACUUUAAAGUGUCAGUCUGUCUGUCUGUCUGCCUGUCUGUCUGUCUGUCUGUCUGUCUGUCUGUUUGUCAAUACAUAUAUUUUCAAACAUUGAACUAUUAUACACCAUCUAUGCAAAGCAACUAGAUACUACCCAAGCCAAUAGGGCUUGGUUCUACGUACAACUGUUUAUAUUGUCUGUCUUCUAUUUUAUUUUCAACAUCAACGCUACCAUACAGUGAAUAUCAGUAAAAGGCACCACAGCUAAAUAGUUAGUUCUCGACCCAUCGUCUGUCUGUCUUAAUUCUAUAUUGAAUGCAUGAUUAAAACUACACUGUAGUACAAUGUCACUAACACUAAAACAAAGCUAAACAUAAAACUACGAGUCUAUGGGACUCAGCUAGUGGCCUCUCAAUACAACAACUAAUUAAAGAGACAUUUGGAGAUUUGCGUUAACGCAACGUUUCAGAGAUGCACGCUAACGUACAUUUGUAGUGUCUGUCCUGUCUACCAGUUGACCAUGUUGGAAGUGGGUGGUCCCCUGGACAUGCUUUUGCUCAUGAAGCCCCUUUCUGGGUCCUGGUCACAUGGACUUCAUGGUGUACUCCAUAUUGUAUCGUGUACGAUGCAUAUACAAUGCGUGGGAGUGUCAAGACGUGUGCAAAAUGUGACGUACUGUGUACUUGUGACAGUGUAGAGUCUGGUACAGAGUUGUAUGUUUCAACUGUAUUUUUUGUUAGUAUUUAGUAGCGGACCAGCUCGUCUACAACUUUUUUUGUGCCACAGCGUAUAUGUUGUGUUGGUAGGGCUGCAGCUACGCCCAUACGUGCUAGUUGCGGUUGUAUGUUAUGGAAGAAUAACAUACCGUGUCUGUCUGUUUGUCUGUCUGUCUGUCAAUACAUGUAUUUUUGAAUCACUAUAGUAAAGUCCAACUACCAGCAAUUACAAGCUUAUAAAGUCUUCAAACUACAGCUGCAUGCACAAGAAAGAAUACUAGUUAAUGGAAAGUAUUUUUUGAGUGAGAAACAGGUAGAAACAUGAUGAUUACAAUCUCCACAGAAGACGCACUAGACCACAACGUGGACAAGGUAAGUCUGCGAUAAUCCAAUGGAGAUUGAAGCCAUCAGAGAAAGUAGGGUUGAAGACCGAGGGAAGCAAAUGAAGAUGAAGAGGAUGACAACAGCUACUCGUGAAAGAUGCAAGAGGCCAUGUAAACGUGGGCAAGGUAAGUCUGCGGUCCAUCCACAAACACUGAAGCCACGCAAGAGAAAAUGAAAUGAAGGCAGAUGUGAUGACAGCAGAAUCUUCGGAAGACAUGCUAGACCACAUGCACGAGGCCAAGAGUCGGCGGCAGCAAAGUUUGAUUACACUUUAGUAACAUCAAUGAAGAAACUACGACACAGAAAACAGCAACAAGAGCGUUCAUUCCAGAUAAGGGGACCCCAACAUCGAAAUUGGUUAAAUUCAAUCGAAUUCAGCUUUUCGUCUUCAUCACGUGAUCUUAGUGAGAUCUGGUGGAGAAACUCUCCACUAUUCCCCCAAUGUCCAAAAUGAUAAAAACCUCAAGGGAAUCAAGCAAGGAGAACCUCCACCAGUCUGUCUGUCUGUCUAUGACUUUGUUGUUUGCAAGGACUGGUUUGCUUUUACAAAUUCCUAGCAUAUGUACUGUACAAGUAGAGUGUAUAUGAAUAAAGUAUCGGUCUGUCUGCCUGUCUUUCUGUCAGUCUGUCUGUCUUAAUUUCAAGUUGGGAGUUUUUGCAUUGCAAAGUUGAUCCAAAUUUCUGCUGCUAUCGCUGUUGCUCCUUUUGUGGGUUCGUGGUGCUAUUCAUUAUGUGAAGUCCCUCAGAGAAUUCCAUCUAGAGCAGGUUUA
Long non-coding RNA from Corticium candelabrum, 2055 nucleotides. RefSeq lists it as uncharacterized. The record is from RefSeq and is a predicted model, not a curated record. The transcript has 3 exons. NCBI's taxonomy places the organism in Eukaryota, Metazoa, Porifera, Homoscleromorpha, Homosclerophorida, Plakinidae.